This 253-nucleotide ribosomal RNA is filed under the name uncultured bacterium. Its description in RNAcentral is "partial 16S ribosomal RNA". It matches the Rfam family "Bacterial small subunit ribosomal RNA", at positions 524 to 776 of the family's 1533-position model. The record is from RNAcentral.
UACGUAGGGGGCAAGCGUUGUCCGGAUUUAUUGGGCGUAAAGAGCGUGUAGGCGGCCAGGGAGGUCCGUUGUGAAAACUCGAGGCUCAACCUCGAGACGCCGAUGGAAACCCCCUGGCUAGAGUCCGGAAGAGGAGAGUGGAAUUCCUGGUGUAGCGGUGAAAUGCGCAGAUAUCAGGAAGAACACCCGUGGCUAAGGCGGCUCUCUAGUACGGUACUGACGCUGAGGCGCGAAAGCGUGGGGAGCAAACAGG